CGGACGGGGGCUGUGGACGCAAGGAAGCAGUACCCAGUGGCAGACGGGUGAGUAACACGUAGGCGACCUGCCCUGAAGAGGGGGAUAACGGCUCGAAAGGGCUGCUAAUACCCCAUGAGCUUCUCCGGGUUAGAGGCUGGGGAAGGAAAGGGAGCGAUCCGCUUCAGGAGGGGCCUGCGGUCCAUCAGCUGGUUGGUAGGGUAGCGGCCUACCAAGGCGAGGACGGGUAGGGGGCCUGAGAGGGUGGUCCCCCAAACUGGGACUGACACACGGGCCAGACUCCUACGGGAGGCAGCAAUGGG
This 302-nucleotide small RNA is filed under the name uncultured bacterium. Its description in RNAcentral is "bacterial SSU rRNA". It matches the Rfam family "Bacterial small subunit ribosomal RNA", at positions 63 to 355 of the family's 1533-position model. The record is from RNAcentral.